UGCAAACUGCGAAUACCGGAGAAUGUUAUCACGGGAGACACACGGCGGGUGCUAACGUCCGUCGUGAAGAGGGAAACAACCCAGACCGCCAGCUAAGGUCCCAAAGUCAUGGUUAAGUGGGAAACGAUGUGGGAAGGCCCAGACAGCCAGGAUGUUGGCUUAGAAGCAGCCAUCAUUUAAAGAAAGCGUAAUAGCUCACUGGUCGAGUCGGCCUGCGCGGAAGAUGUAACGGGGCUAAACCAUGCACCGAAGCUGCGGCAGCGACACUAUGUGUUGUUGGGUAGGGGAGCGUUCUGUAAGCCUGUGAAGGUGGCCUGUGAGGGUUGCUGGAGGUAUCAGAAGUGCGAAUGCUGACAUAAGUAACGAUAAAGCGGGUGAAAAGCCCGCUCGCCGGAAGACCAAGGGUUCCUGUCCAACGUUAAUCGGGGCAGGGUGAGUCGACCCCUAAGGCGAGGCCGAAAGGCGUAGUCGAUGGGAAACAGGUUAAUAUUCCUGUACUUGGUGUUACUGCGAAGGGGGGACGGAGAAGGCUAUGUUGGCCGGGCGACGGUUGUCCCGGUUUAAGCGUGUAGGCUGGUUUUCCAGGCAAAUCCGGAAAACCAAGGCUGAGGCGUGAUGAC
RNAcentral lists this ribosomal RNA (620 nucleotides) under Escherichia coli. RNAcentral's name for it is "partial 23S ribosomal RNA". It matches the Rfam family "Bacterial large subunit ribosomal RNA", at positions 948 to 1570 of the family's 2925-position model. The record is from RNAcentral. Lineage: Bacteria; Pseudomonadati; Pseudomonadota; Gammaproteobacteria; Enterobacterales; Enterobacteriaceae.